RNAcentral lists this ribosomal RNA (253 nucleotides) under uncultured bacterium. RNAcentral describes it as "partial 16S ribosomal RNA". It matches the Rfam family "Bacterial small subunit ribosomal RNA", at positions 524 to 776 of the family's 1533-position model. The record is from RNAcentral. RNAcentral also lists the same sequence under 1 other name.
UACGUAGGGAGCAAGCGUUGUCCGGAAUCAUUGGGCGUAAAGCGCGCGUAGGUGGCUUCGUAAGUCCGUUGUGAAAGUCAAAGGCUCAACCUUUGAAUGCCGAUGGAUACUGCGGAGCUAGAGUACGGAAGAGGCGAGUGGAAUUCCUGGUGUAGCGGUGGAAUGCGCAGAUAUCAGGAGGAACACCAAUAGCGAAGGCAGCUCGCUGGGACGUUACUGACACUAAGGCGCGAAAGCGUGGGGAGCGAACAGG